AAGCCCAAUAUUUCUCAAAAAACCCUAAUCCUAAACCUUAGAGACUCUCAGCCGCAUCUCCUCUCCAAAAACCAUCGCCGCCCGCCUCCAAAGUCGCCGGAACUCGCCCAACCCGGUGAGUUCACCCACUGGUCUCCUCAUGGCCCCCCUUCUCUCUUCUACUUCUUCCACAUAGCAAAACUCCAACAAAUCUCUUCAUUACCACACAUUUUUUUCUUUUAUCUUUCUUCGUCUAAACAAAAUUCCGGACCCUUGAAUAAAUCUGGGAAGAAUGGAAAUCGUUGGAUGGAAUUUUUGUCCAAAAAUCUCUAUUUUUUCGAUUUUUAUUUGUAAAAGGGGAUUUUCGGAUUUGAUCUUGUGGUGCCAUAUGAUUUCUUGCUGAAGAAGGAGAAGCUUCGAGAGAAGGCUAUAUAUUUGGAGGAUUUCGGACAGAGAGGGGAGAAGAAGAAAGGUUUGGGAGACGCUAGUGUUUUUCUGAGUUUUUUCCUUCCAAUUUUCAGUCAUUUGGGUAAAAUUUUAGAGUUCUCUUUGAGUCUUUCUUUCAUCUUCGAAACAGAAAAUACAAGAAAAGUAUAUUAGCUUCUGAUUUGUUUAACAAGCAUGGAGUUUAGCUGAUGUCUGUUGACUGCUCGUGAGGUUCUUGAUCGUGGUUCCAAAUCCAUUUUUGUUGUUUUUUUGUCCUUCUACUGGUUCGCGAUAUUGCUGUUAUUUUGCUUGAAUUUGGAGUAAAAGCUUUGUAUACGCCAAAUCUUCUGUUCUAUCGAAAGCUUAAGCUUCAACAGGUUCAAUGUGAUUUUAGUUAGGUUGGGUCUUCCUCCGUUACUUGUGUUCUAUUUUAUUUUCAUGCUUCAAUGUCUAUGUAUUCCAGUCUGUUCUGUUUGGACAUGUUGGAUGGCUAUAUGAUUUACUUCCAUUAUCAGUGAAUUAGUAUCGAAUUGCGUCGAGUUUCACAUGAAUAUGCAGUAUCUCCCAUUAGUUUUCUUUCUUGAAUCCCAACUGAUUCUUCGAUUGUACAUGUACUAAUUCACUUGUCGAUGAAGACCUAUACUUGUGUUCUGUUUUAUUUUCAUGCUUCAAUGUCUAUGUAUUCCAGUCUGUUCUGUUUGGACAUGUUGGAUGGCUAUAUGAUUUACUUCCAUUAUCAGUGAAUUAGUAUCGAAUUGCGUCGAGUUUCACAUGAAUAUGCAGUAUCUCCCAUUAGUUUUCUUUCUUGAAUCCCAACUGAUUCUUCGAUUGUACAUGUACUAAUUCACUUGUCGAUGAAGACCUAUACUUGUGUUCUGUUUUAUUUUCAUGCUUCAAUGUCUAUGUAUUCCAGUCUGUUCUGUUUGGACAUGUUGGAUGGCUAUAUGAUUUACUUUCAUUAUCAGUGAAUUAGUAUCGAAUUGCUUCGAGUUUCACAUGAAUAUGCAGUAUGUCCCAUUAGUUUUCUUUCUUGAAUCCCAACUGAUUCUUCGUUUGU
This 1462-nucleotide long non-coding RNA is filed under the name Nicotiana benthamiana. Its description in RNAcentral is "long non-coding RNA (NBEN_LNC012742)". The record is from RNAcentral. Lineage: Eukaryota; Viridiplantae; Streptophyta; Magnoliopsida; Solanales; Solanaceae.